Molecule: ribosomal RNA, 468 nt
Filed under: uncultured bacterium
Lineage: Bacteria
Description: partial 16S ribosomal RNA
Rfam family: Bacterial small subunit ribosomal RNA
Source: RNAcentral
GACGAACGCUGGCGGCGUGCUUAAUACAUGCAAGUCGUACGGAAAGGCCCUGGUUUUGUUGGGUGUUCUAGUGGCGAACGGACGAGUAACAAGUGAGUAACCUGCUCAUGCCUUUGGGAUAACUACCGGAAACUGGGGCUAAUAACGAAUACGUGCUCCUGCUGCAUGGUGGGGGUUGGAAUGUUUCGGCGGUUGGGGAUGGACUGGCGGCCUAUCAGCUUGUUGGUGGGGUAGUGGCUUACCAAGGCUUUGCCGGGUAGACGGCCUGAGAGGGUGACCGGCCACAGUGGGACAGAGAUACGGCCCAGACUCGUACGGGAGGCAGCAGUGUGGAAUAAUGCACGAUGGGCGGAAGCCGGAUGCAGCAACACCGCGUGCUGGAUGACGAACUUCGUGUUUUAGGCCGCUUUCGCCUGUAACGAAGCGUGAGUGACGGUAAUGGAUAAAGAAGCACCGGCUAACUACGUG